This 465-nucleotide ribosomal RNA is filed under the name uncultured bacterium. Its description in RNAcentral is "partial 16S ribosomal RNA". It matches the Rfam family "Bacterial small subunit ribosomal RNA", at positions 338 to 795 of the family's 1533-position model. The record is from RNAcentral.
CCUACGGGAGGCAGCAGUAGGGAAUCUUCGUCAAUGGGCGCAAGCCUGAACGAGCGAUGCCGCGUGAGUGAAGAAGGCCUUCGGGUCGUAAAGCUCUGUUGCGGGGGAAAAAAGGCACCAUCAGGAAAUGGGCGCUGACUGAUGGUGCCCCGCCAGAAAGUCACGGUUAACUACGUGCCAGCAGCUGAGGUAAUACGUAGGGGGCGAGCGUUAGCCGGAAUGAUUGGGCGUAAGGGGUGCGCAGGCGGUCCAGCAAGUCUGGAGUGAAACGUAUGGGCGCAACUCAUGCAUGGCUUUGGAAACUGGAGGACUGGAGAGCAGGAGAGGGAGGUGGAACUCCAUGUGUAGCGGUGAAAUGCGUAGAUAUAAGGAAGAACACCAAUGGCGAAGGCGGCCGACUGGCCUGUUGCUGACGCUGAGGCACGAAAGCGUGGGGAGCAAAUAGGAUUAGAUACCCGUGUAGUC